CUUCUUCCAAUUCCAUCUUUCUUAGCAGUAUCUCCCAGUACAUCUGGUGGAACCAUCAGCUUUCGCCCUUUGACUCCCGAAGCCUCUUCCUCAAGACCUCAGACUCUGCCUCGGCAUCCUUGACCGCCUGCUGCUCGUGGGCCAGCUGAAUCUUCAGCUGCUGCAGUUCAGCCUUCUUCUGCCCAAGGGCCACAGACAG
This 199-nucleotide long non-coding RNA is filed under the name Elaeis guineensis (African oil palm). RNAcentral's name for it is "long non-coding RNA (EGUI_LNC044899)". Lineage: Eukaryota; Viridiplantae; Streptophyta; Magnoliopsida; Arecales; Arecaceae. The record is from RNAcentral.